This is a long non-coding RNA of Lathyrus oleraceus (garden pea), 1807 nucleotides long. RefSeq lists it as uncharacterized. Lineage: Eukaryota; Viridiplantae; Streptophyta; Magnoliopsida; Fabales; Fabaceae. The record is from RefSeq and is a predicted model, not a curated record. The transcript is spliced from 2 exons.
UAUAAGGAAAGUUCUAGGGGAGAAAUCACUCAGUUACAACUCAAGCCUUAUUCACUUCUUGUUCAAGCCAUUCUCUCACAUACUGACCUCGCCGGUGAAACCACCCUGCCGCGGCGGAAAUCACUUCCGGCGGCGGGGGCCCUCCCAUGAAACAAAUUCAACCACCAAAAUGAACCUUACUUCUCCUCUCUUCUCACCUAUUGUUGUUUUCAUGAAAUUUCUAACCUAAAUCCUAAUUUGAAACCAAGGACACAAAUGAUUCCUAAAAGAAAAUUCCCGAGUUAAUAGCUAACACGGAGGAAUCAAAGCCUAAUUCAUUAGAGAUUUGAUUCCUUAGGUUCAAGACUACAUAGCGGUAGCAGCGAUAACGCAAAUUGAAGAAGAAAAGUGGAAGCUUACCUACCGGAGCAACUCUGGUGGUUCUUCAAGUGGCGGUGCUAAGAACAACGGGUCCAAAAGACUUGUUCUCCUUCAGGUAACCUCUGUGGUUGAUGGUGCGUGAGAUUGAGAGAGUCGAGCUUUGUGUUGUUAUUGAAUAUGGCAGAAGAGUGUGAAGAGAAUAUAUUGAAAUUGUAGAGAAAUUGGGAGAUUUGAUUGAGAGUGAUGUGAGGUUGAUGAGUUAGAGGCUUAAGCUCAACCAAUUGAAGCUUCAAUGGCCGUGUGAUGGGAGCAUUGGUGAGGGUGAGUUCAGAGAGAGAUGAAGAUUGAUGAUUGAGAAGAUUUCAUGCAAAUGAUUGGUUCCCCCCUGAAAUUGGUGGUGGUGAUGAACUUUUAUAGGCGUCAGAGUUAACAGAGUUUGGACUCUGUUAGCUCACUCAUGUGCAAUUCAGUUAGAGUUGGUUCACAGGGUUAAAUUUCUAUUAUAGUUAGUUAGAUUAGUUGUUAGUUAAGUUAGGGUUAGUUACUAGUUGAGUUUCUGUUAGGAGAAAAUUUUGUUAGUUAGUUUUUCAAUUAUUUAGAUAGCUGUUAAAGUUAGUUUGGAGUUAGUUAUUGUUAACUGAAAAUGAAUAUUUAGGAGGUUGUGUAAAAUCAGUUAAUGUUAGUUGAGCUUGGAAAGUGAGAUUAUUUUAAGUUUAAAUUGGAAUUUGUUAUCAUGUUAAGUGCAUUCGGUUGAAUUAGUUGUGGUCUGUUAGAAUCUGGUAAGUGUAAUUCAGUUAGUGUUAGAAGGUUGAUUUCUGUUAUGAGUUGGUUAGUGCAGUUAGUUUGAAAUAUGAUAAAGUUAGUUGAUGGUUUCGAUGCUUGAAAUGGAUAUUUAAUAGUUUAUGUAUUGAAUGCAAUUAUGAAUUGGACUAUUAGUGCUAAUGUAAGUCUAUUUAGAUUUAGGUUGAAUAGCUUAAAAUUCUGUAAAAAAAAUGGUUGUUGAACUUGUGAACUUGCUAUGCCAUGCCAUGAGUUUAAUUUCUCACAGGAUAAUGUAAUCACUAAAACAAGUCGUCCUUUGUACAUCUGAUAUAAAAGCUGGGAUACAAAGUUCACUAUUGCUUCAAGCUAACUAUUGGUGCCUCUUGGAAUGAAGGUUCAAUGUGAUAUGGACAAGGCCAUGAACAAGUAGACCCUUUGAAAGAUCAAGUAUUUAUGGAGGAUUUGUGCAUAAGAAGAGAUGGAUUAUGGGAGAAGACAAUGUGGGAAUUAGGAUUUUAGGUUUAGGGGUUGACUUUGGUCAAUUGGUUAACCAAAAAGUCAAUAGUUGGCCGGAGUCAACUAUAGGCCACAAUUUGUAAUUUUCGUGUAAAGUUUGUAACUUGGAUUGUGAAUGAUGUAAUGAAUGAUUUGAUCGCUUGUAAUAAGAAUGAUCCUCUUUGAAUGA